CCGUCAUUUCCGGGUGCGACCCCCGCUUCUGUCCGGCUGGGCGCUGGACGCGUUGGGUCCGCUCGUAACUGCAUCUGACCGUCUGCACGAACUGCCCCUUCCCUGUUCCCAGCGGGAAGGACAUGAGUGUUCCUGGGCCAACGUCCCCGGACGGGGUCCUGCCAGGGCCACCCCACGGCCGGGGGGCAGGGGAGCCGACGCCGGGUUUAAGGGACGCUUCUCCAGAUGAAGGGUUACUAGAGGACUUGACUGUAGAGGACAAAGCUGUGGAGCAGCUCGCAGAAGGAUUGCUUUCUCACUACCUGCCGGAUCUGCAGAGAUCAAAACAAGCUCUUCAGGAACUCACACAGAACCAAGUUGUAUUACUAGACACACUGGAACAGGAGAUUUCAAAAUUUAAAGAAUGUCAUUCUAUGUUGGAUAUUAAUGCUUUGUUCACUGAAGCUAAACACUAUCAUGCCAAGUUGGUGAAUAUAAGAAAAGAGAUGUUGAUGCUUCAUGAAAAGACGUCGAAGUUAAAAAAAAGAGCACUUAAGCUACAGCAGAAGAGGCAGAAAGAGGAGUUGGAAAGGGAGCAGCAACGCGAGAAGGAAUUUGAAAGAGAAAAGCAGUUAACUGCCAAACCAGCUAAGAGGACGUGAGAAGCCGAGUGCGCAUGUGUGUUCGCCCUUCCCUGCCCGUGUGGCCGGCAUCCAGGGUGACCUCAGGAAGUGGAGGAGGCCUGAGUUUCUCCAUCAGGAGAGAAGCGAGUGGGAAGACUGCACAGAACUCUAUGAUUUUCCUGCAAGGCUGUUUUAAUUCUAGGCUGACCAUGAAGCUCCACACCUCUCUGAUAGAAACAAACAAUGGAGAGACUGGAACUGGGUGAGAAGUGGCUCAGGGGCCUUGCCUUGAGAUGAUAAUGAUGCUGGAGUUGACAGAAGCCAAGCAAGCCAAGCCGCUAGGAGAAACAAACACUCCAGAGUGGCCAGGACAUUCCCAUCACGGCUGUUCUGAGACAUUUCACCACCACCACCACCUCAAGAAAGCUACCUUCGAUGUUGCCUGGCUGAGGCUGCAUUUCUGGAUCUUGAGCCUACCACUCGGCUCCAUCUCUUCUGCACCUUAAUGGCUGUGGGGGGAGAGCACAGCUAGAGUUGGAAGCCAGGUUUUCUCACUGGAGGGCGCAGCGUAAUUCGGUCUCCCUUGGGGGUCAGCAUGCAGACCUGAGGUGAGCCCUAACAGUAUCCCAGCAUCACUUAACAUAAGACACCUUGUAAUUUGUGGCUUCUGGACUGUUGUUUUCACUUAAUAAUGGCACCAGUCUCUCUGCUCAGUGCAGUGGCCGCAUCCAGGCAAACGAAUUCAUCUCGGAUGAGAUGUUGCUGGCUGUUGACCGCCUCACAGUCUGGGCCUCCACUGAGGUCCACAAAUGUACCGUACCUGUCAGACCAGGGGAGCGCAGAAGAGACAGCUCCUGAAGGAGGGCAGAUGCCCCUUUCCCGUCCUGGUAGAAAGUACAAUGGUAAGGAGAGGAGGCACACCGAGUCACCUUCCGUUUCUGAGUCCCUCCUGGCGUCCUCUUACUCUACUGACCCGCCCUCAGCUCCCCAGGAGAGGUGACAAACUGAGCAGUGGCUUGUGCCACCUUCCGAGUCAGACCUGAUAUUAAGGAUGCAGACUGGCAUUUAAAGCAGGCUGUGUCCCCUCCCCCCUAACCUUUUUUCUCUUCCCAUCGUGGCCAUGCGACUGCGCCUCACGCAGCUCUCCCGACCGGGACCCUAACGGACCUAGGGCCCCAGCUGCGGUGCUCGCAGGCCCCUGCGUUGGCACUGAGGCAGGCUCCGCACAGCUUGCGCCUAGCCAGUGGUCUGCUCCUAGGGCAGAUGGGCCUUCCCCGAAGGUCAUUGUUGGCUGCAAGACUCGCCCUUGGCAUCACUGAAGCUCUGCUCAGCAGUUUAAGAUGCUUCCCCCGCCAAACUUCCUUCCUUUUCUUCUUCAUCCCGGCAGGCUGCACAAGAAGGAAUGAAGAGGUCGAUGGAAGUGGGCAUGCGGGAAGGGCAUAUUAUGUAAGGCCAGAAGACCCACAGAGAAUAUGGCCCAGGAGAGAGCACGGGACAUGCCAUCAAGAGGGGCACCAAUGUCACUAAGAAGUUUUGCAGGCCGGGGAUGAUGGAAAUUCUGAGAAGUGACUGUAAACUGAGCAUGUUAGCAUAUGUGAAGAUCGAGGCCAGGAGGGGCACUUAACUGUCGGAAGCCCCAAGGCCAGACCUAGCCUGCUCACCAGAAGGCAGGGUUGGAGGGCAGGCAGUGAGUGGGCUUUGGCAGCAGGGGGUUGGGAUGAUGGUUAGCAGAGCAUGGUGUCGGUUUUGCGUCUGGGGGCAAAAUAAGCAGAUAGUCAACAAGGGUGCUGCUUAGCCUCUAUAACAGGAGUCAGCAGACUUUUGGUAAAGGGCUAGAUAGUAAAUAUUUUAGGUUUUGUAGGUCCCAUCAGCUGUUGUAGUACGAAAGCAGCCACAGACGCUAUGUCGAAAAUGAGUGUCGCUGUGUUUCUACAAAACUUCCUUUACGAAAACUGGUGGUUGGUUUGAUGUGGUCCGUGGGCCAUUGUUUAUUAAAAAAAAUUCAGAAUUGGAAGAGCAAGAAGCUGAGGGCCGUCACUUCAAGUCAUGAUCUCUUGCUCAGUUCCCAGACUUGAGGCAGUUUUGAGGUCUGGAAUCCACUGACUAAAGAGGCAGCUGGAGGAAGGACCCUGCAACACUCUGGCACGGACAGACCUUGACAGUCCCUCCAGUCCUUCCUCAAAGGAACCGAUGGCCAUUUACUUGGGUAAUUGUACAGUAGGACUGUUGGACAAAAGGUUCUGAGUUGACCCUGAUCCAGAGAGACCCAAAGGAGCAUCAGGGCCUCCUGUUGGAAUGGAGGAGGUCCUGCGAGGACCAGGUGAAAAAUGAGGUCGUGCAUCGAGUCCAGGUUACGAUGGGUCUGCUGGAGCCCCAGCUCCAUGCAGUGGCCAUACUGCGUCUUUUCCCACCACUGAGCCAUCUAACCCCAUGGAGGGCAGCCGGCAGGGCUGACGGCGCUGGCUUGAGCCUUUUGCAACACCUUUUCCUGCUUCAGCUCAGCUUGAAGCUGGCAGCCCUCUGUGUCACCCAGUAUAUGGGCCAGAAGAUAUCCCCGGGGUGGGAUAUGUUGCCUUUAGAACACAAAGAGGUCUGCAAGGCGCUGUACUUCCUUCUUUGUGACAGGAUGGUACGACGCAGCAGUUUGUGAUUUUGGAAGGGGAUAUCCCAGAAUACCCCCUGACGGUUAGAACUCUUAAAAAAUGUCACGGAAAUGGUCUAUUCCUGACUCUUCAUAGAGUUUUCUCCCACCCUCAAGUGCAUGCGUCUUAUCGAGGCCUGUAGGAGCAUUCUAGCCUCUCUGCUCAUCCUGUCCAGUCACUGGAUGUCAUCAGUGAGAUGGAUCAGUAUGAUACUCUCUUAGAUAUGAGAGAGGCCCAGAUCUCUCAGACUGUAUUACGACAGGAGGUGGGAGAGAGUUAACAUAACCCUGAAACAAACUGUCAGUUGAAUGUUGUCCAUUUUCCCUGCCCACUGUCUCAGCCAACACUUCUCUCUGGAGGCCUAAGUGUCUCAUCCACAGGUAUGGAAUCCCAUUUAGCAGAGUAUCCAACCAGGAGGUCUACUUCAAGUGGAGGAGGGGUAGGAGUGGGUCAUAACCAUGAGAUCCUCUGGUUCUGUCAUGUACUGCACCACCUAGAAAUAACUGGUCUCACAGACUGCUGGAGUGGCCUUCUAGAGUCACCCUGAAAUGGUGGAGCGCUGUUCUUCAGGACAUGGUGCAUUUAUUAAAUCAGAGCCCUCUAUAUGGUGCUGUGUCCUCAGUUAAGAAGGAUACAAGGCUCUGAAAACCAAGGGGUGGAAGCAGGAAUGGCCUAACUUGCCAUCAUUCUUGAUGACCCCCAGGGAAUUUGUGCUUCCUUUCCUUGCAACCCUAGACUCUUGUGUGGUUGAGGGUCCAGGCCCACCAGAGGCACAAUGAAGGCCCCAUUGAAUGAGAAGUUAUGGCUGCUGACAGGGCACUUUGGGGUUUUGUGUCAGGGAAAAGCAGGCAAGAGGGGAGUUGCCACACUAGCAGGAGUAACUGAACCUGAUCAUCAGGAGGGGGUGCUGCUUUAACACCGCGGGGCCGGGAGGAAUAUAGGUGGGACUCCAGUGAUUCAUGUGGGUAUCUCCUCUACUCCCUUGUCCCACUAUAACUGUGCCUAGAACACAUGCAGCCACCCCAGGCUUUGACUAUCAAGUGUUCAAACCCCUCAGGAAUAAAGGUUUGGGUCACACCACCAGGUAAGUCCCAAGACCUGCCAAGGUGAGAGCAGAGGCUGAAAGGGGUUUAGAAUGGAUGUUGGAGAAGGGAGAAGGUCAGUAUUCACUGUGGCCUUGGGAUCAACUGUGAUGAUCUUGGGGGACUCUAAUUCAUCCAGUGAACUCCCUCUUCUCAGUUGCUCCUCAAGAGGGAGGCCAGGAGGCCCAUGGAGGAGCUGCUUUCUGCACCUUUGUGGAGAAGAUCUAUGUGGCACAGGAGGUGGGGUGUGGAGGCAGGAGACCAUGCCUCACAGCUCUCCAACUAUAGGAACAUAACUGAACAAAGGCCUCAGCUACUUCACCCUGAAUUCCACCGCCACAUUUUUGCUAAAGUAUGCUUCCCAUGGGCUGCUCCUAGCCAAUGACUGAGCUCAGCAGGGAGAUUAAGGCAAGCCCAGGGUCCCUUGUUCAAAUUUUAUUAAGAAUUUCAAGAUGGCAACAGCAGAGCGUUAAACCAGGUGUGGGCCCUGUGUGACUACAGGUUGCAAUCUCAUUAAGCUGGCUCUGUCUGGGAGAUAGGGGUCUCCUCUAAUAGCUAACUUUGGCCUGACAGCCUUGCUGAACCUUCUUUAGACUACACAGCUGUCUAGAAAGCUUCCAUUCAACCUUUCUUUCCUCUCUUCUUCUUUUAGGGUCAGACUUGCAUCGUACUCUGAUGGUUAUCCCAACUUUCUCCAUCUCCCUCCUCAUUUUCUCCCCCAAGUUUCCCAAUAAAAUUAUUGCAUGUUUAA
This is an RNA transcript of Mirounga angustirostris (Northern elephant seal), 5077 nucleotides long. It is a transcript of the gene named biogenesis of lysosomal organelles complex 1 subunit 6, with no coding region annotated. The transcript has 6 exons. Lineage: Eukaryota; Metazoa; Chordata; Mammalia; Carnivora; Phocidae. The record is from RefSeq and is a predicted model, not a curated record.